AUUUAAUCAACUUAUCGAGUAUAUCUAAUGACUCUGUCAUUCAAAACUGCAUACCUCUUUAUUUUUAUAACACAGAACACAGAAAUUACAUUUUCAGACGUAAUUGUAGAAAAUGAUUCUCCUCUAUGUUGAGAUUGUGCAUCUCUAAAUUGUAUAUAUGAUUAAAAUCAACAGACAUACAACAAUAACUAAAAACACAACA
Molecule: long non-coding RNA, 202 nt
Filed under: Mytilus galloprovincialis (Mediterranean mussel)
Lineage: Eukaryota; Metazoa; Mollusca; Bivalvia; Mytilida; Mytilidae
Source: RNAcentral